GUUACAGUGCUUUGGCAGUAGAGACUUCCUAACAUGAAAAUCAACCAUGAGAAUACUUUUUUUGUUCCUUUACUUUAAAUGGCGUAUAUGCAGAUAUUUUCUAGAGGACAUGUAGCAAAUUAGAAAGCAUAUCCUGGACACAACAAGAACAGAAGGUGUCUGGCUGUUAGACCAGCGCUGGAUGUACAAUGUGGUUAUUGGAGGAUAAGAAAAAUAAUAAAGACAAAGACCACUGGAAAACACCCACACAUAGAUAGUGGACAAAGGAAGAAAGAAAUGGAAAAUUCAGAAUCGGUGUUCCAUCAUCUUUUAGACCAUCCAUUGUGGGAGUGUCUGCAAGAUAGCAUCUGACAAUUAAUUUAGCCACCUACAGAAAAUGAACUGGUGACUUCCAAAUGGUUUACAGUGAGCAGGAAGAUGUCAUCAUGCUUUUGACAGUCUAAGACACAAGAGGUGUACUCGAUCUGCCAGAGACUAAUCUUGUUCGGCAUUUUAAGAAUUUGUCUUCUUUCUUCUUACUCCCCUGUUUACACACCUGUAAGAAUACCUAUGUAUAUAAGCAUUUUAUCUCAAGAACAGCACGUACAUGUUGCAUACACUUUUCUGUUUUCACAAAUAUCAUCUCAUCAGAAUUAGAGCCACUACUGUCUUCUGUAAUGCCAGCUAGUUUCGAAGGCUCUCUGGCUCCAGUAUUCCCCGUGGGCAGAGCCUCCACACAGAUGCGAAUACGCUCCACACAAGCUAGCAUUCAGGGCUUGCUUCACGAGCUCUGUAUUUGCCCAUCCCACCCAAACUAA
RNAcentral lists this long non-coding RNA (797 nucleotides) under Numida meleagris (helmeted guineafowl). Its description in RNAcentral is "lncRNA (ENSNMEG00000014696.1)". Lineage: Eukaryota; Metazoa; Chordata; Aves; Galliformes; Numididae. The record is from RNAcentral.